Molecule: non-coding RNA, 142 nt
Organism: Populus trichocarpa (black cottonwood)
Lineage: Eukaryota; Viridiplantae; Streptophyta; Magnoliopsida; Malpighiales; Salicaceae
Source: Rfam
UAAUUUAUUCGGAAUAGAUUUUUAUUUGGUUACAGUAUACUAAUAUUUUAAUGCUCACAAUUAUUUGAUAUUAUAAGCUAGCUACAUCAAUGACGUUGAAAAUAUGAACACAACUACUACUUGAAUAAUAAUUUUUUAAAAU